This 902-nucleotide ribosomal RNA is filed under the name Scolecobasidium tshawytschae. RNAcentral describes it as "partial large subunit ribosomal RNA". It matches the Rfam family "Eukaryotic large subunit ribosomal RNA", at positions 41 to 959 of the family's 3401-position model. The record is from RNAcentral. Lineage: Eukaryota; Fungi; Ascomycota; Dothideomycetes; Venturiales; Sympoventuriaceae.
AAUCAAUAAGCGGAGGAAAAGAAACCAACCGGGAUUGCCCCAGUAACGGCGAGUGAAGCGGCAACAGCUCAAAUUUGAAAUCUGGGGUCCUUUGGGCCUCCGAGUUGUAGUUUGCAGAGGGAGCCUCGGAGGGCGUGCCGGCCCAAGUGCCUUGGAACAGGAUACCGCAGAGGGUGAGAGUCCCGUAUCCGGCCGGUGGCGCGCUCCGUGUGAGGCCUCUUCGACGAGUCGAGUUGUUUGGGAAUGCAGCUCCAAGCGGGUGGUAAAUUCCAUCUAAAGCUAAAUACUGGCCAGAGACCGAUAGCGAACAAGUAGAGUGAUCGAAAGAUGAAAAGCACUUUGAAAAGAGAGUCAAACAGUACGUGAAAUUGUUGAAAGGGAAGCGCAUGGGGGCAGACUUGGCCGCGGGGUUCAGGGUGCGUUCUCGCGCCUGCACUUCCCCGCGGACAGGCCAGCAUCGGUUCUGGGGGCCGGACAAAGGGGCCGGGAAGGUAGCCGCCUUCGGGCGGUGUUAUAGCCCGGCGCGCAAUGCGGCCACCUGGGACCGAGGACCGCGCUUCGGCAAGGAUGCUGGCGUAAUGGCCUCAUGCGGCCCGUCUUGAAACACGGACCAAGGAGUCUAACAUCUAUGCGAGUGUUUGGGUGGCAAGCCCGGGCGCGCAAUGAAAGUGAACGGAGGUGGGAGCUGUCGUAGGCGCACCAUCGACCGAUCCGGACGUUUUCCGAAGGAUUUGAGUAGGAGCAUAGCUGUUGGGACCCGAAAGAUGGUGAACUAUGCGUGAAUAGGGUGAAGCCAGAGGAAACUCUGGUGGAGGCUCGCAGCGGUUCUGACGUGCAAAAUCGAUCGUCAAAUUUGCGUAUAGGGGCGAAAGACUAAUCGAACCAUCUAGUAGCUGGUUCUG